This is a long non-coding RNA of Artibeus jamaicensis (Jamaican fruit-eating bat), 810 nucleotides long. RefSeq lists it as uncharacterized. Lineage: Eukaryota; Metazoa; Chordata; Mammalia; Chiroptera; Phyllostomidae. The transcript is spliced from 2 exons. The record is from RefSeq and is a predicted model, not a curated record.
UGGUGGGCGGUGGACGGUGGUGUUUGCAACUCUGAGGCCUGGAUUUGGAUCCUCUGAUGCUAUUUCCCAGCACUAAGCAAGUGGGUUUAACUGCGACCCUCGGACCUCCCCAAGGAUGUGAUCCCAGAUCCUUCCGGAGGAAGCUGGGGAAUUUUUUAAAGGCCUCUUUCAAUCCAGUCUCUUUCCUGCGAGAGCGAAGGGUCCAGCCCCACCGAUAGGUCAAACUUUCGCGCAUUGGUCCAGCCCUCGUCCAUUGGGCCAGCGGUGCCCAGCGCUGGUGCCCACCAGUCCCGCCAUCGCCCGUCGAGUCCGGACCUCGUCCAUCAGUCCUUCUCACAGCCACUGGACACUUGUCAUUGUCCGACCACCCUGUGCCGUGGACCUGGAAUACUCCGGUACAGGAAGUUGUGGGGCCCCGAGCGCUAAGCCUCUGCGUGGCCCGACGCCUCACCUCCCUUCCCGCACGGCGCCCCCGGCCCUCCGUGCACCGCCACCUUCCACAGCUCGUGCGACCCCUCCUUCCAACCGUUCCCCUUCGCCAGGUGGAGCCUCUGGUCUUCUGGCUGUGUGUCCUCGGCGUUUGAAGAGUGAAGACGCUGCUCCUCUCUAGGAAACCCCACGCUCCCCUGACACCCCUUCCCUCCGCCUCCCUCCAGAGUCGCUCCAAAGCUGCUGCGGGUCCGGCCCCCGGCCCCGGGCAAGAACGGUCCAGCUCCCUAGGGGUCUGCCUAGGGAGUCCGUCUCUGUCCUCCAGUUCUCUCCUAUCCUCCGGCAUCCUAAUCCGCAUAUUAAAUUUUUUUCCUCACCCGA